AUGGCCACACCAGGGAGCAGUACUGGGGCUGGCGGCAGCAGCACCAGACCGGCGAAUGGCGCAGUUGCCGUCAAUUCUGCUGCGACGGCGGUCGGUUCGGCCGAUGCCAGAUUCCACUCCCAACAACCACAUCAGCAGAGUAGAUGGGCUGGCUGUUUUUCUGGCUUGUCAUGUUUUGGAUCGCAGAAGGGUGGAAAGCGUAUAGUUCCUGCAGCACGUAUGGCUGAUGGGAAUGCGUCAACGAACCGUGGGAAUGCUCUUCAAUCUGGUAGAAAUUCCAACCAAAAUGGAGCUAUGAAUUUAUCUCUUCUUGCACCACCAUCAUCGCCCGCAUCCUUCUCGAACUCUGCUCUUCCUUCGACUGUUCAGUCACCUAACCGCUUCCUGUCAAUAUCUGCAAACUCUCCUGGUGGCCCAACGCCUAAUAUGUUCGCUGUUGGACCAUAUGCCAAUGAACCUCAACUUGUCUCACCUCCAACAGCCUUUUCAACUUUCACAACUGAGCCCUCUACAGCACCACUGACCCCUCCUCCUGAACUAGCUCAUGCAACCACUCCGUCCUCUCCAGAUGUUCCAUAUGCUCGGUUUCUUUCAUCAUAUACGGGUCCUAAAACUGCUGGCAAGGAGCAUAACAUGCAUUACCUGUCAACAACAUACUCUGGUGGUUUAGGACUCCAGGGAUCUUAUCCACUUUACCCAGGGAGCCCUUCUAGCAGCCUCAUAUCGCCUGCCUCAGUAACUCCAAGGACCGGUCUAUCCUCACCAAUCCCUGAGCAAGAUGUUCCUACUGCACACUGGAAGACAUCUAGGUCCGUCUGUGACACGCCAUAUUCCAUUGCAUCGCCCAUUCCUGAGCAAGAGGUCCCUACUGCACAGUGGAAGACUUCCAGAUCUGCUUGUGACACACCGUAUUCCAAUACAUCACCAUCAAAUAUUUUUGGACUUGAUUCAGCUGCCCCUAGAAACUGUCUGCUAGAUAGCAAUUUUUUCCGUCCAGCGGCAUCUGCUCAGUUCUACCUGGAUCAGGCUCAACAGUCAUUUCCGUAUAAUGGUGGAAGGCUUAGUGUCUCAAGGGAUAAGCAAGAUGCUGAUGAGGUUGAAGCAUACAGAGCAUCAUUUGGAUUCAGUGCUGAUGAGAUUGUUACAACUCAACAUUAUGUAGAAAUACCAGACGCGCUGGAUGAUGGGUUCAGCAUAUCCCCAUUUGGAAACAACGCCCCUUCUACUGAGGUGUCCCCAUUUAUUGAUCUGCCUAAUGAGGUUCAGAAAGUUGAUAAAAUGGAUAAGUCACUCUUGAAUGUAAACGAGACCACAAGCACAAAGAAGUCGCUGGACCAGCUUUCUGGUGGCAGUCCACAUAAAGUACUGCACCUGGAUAUAUUCAAAGGAACGAAAGCGGGGCAUCUGUCUGAGGAUGAUGCAACCGCGAAAGAUUGCCAUCCUUUCAGGAAGGCGAGGGAUGAAAUAUCUCUAAAACCCAUUGAGGUCUCAGGAAGAGAUCUCCGCCUGGCCAGGCAUGCUCAGAUGCUGAAAUCGAGUACAGAAGGGCGAGGAGUUUGA
RNAcentral lists this ribosomal RNA (1560 nucleotides) under Triticum aestivum (bread wheat). RNAcentral describes it as "partial small subunit ribosomal RNA". The record is from RNAcentral. Lineage: Eukaryota; Viridiplantae; Streptophyta; Magnoliopsida; Poales; Poaceae.